This 2807-nucleotide ribosomal RNA is filed under the name Lactobacillus sp. D1501. RNAcentral describes it as "bacterial LSU rRNA". It matches the Rfam family "Bacterial large subunit ribosomal RNA". The record is from RNAcentral. Lineage: Bacteria; Bacillati; Bacillota; Bacilli; Lactobacillales; Lactobacillaceae.
AGGGCGCAUGGUGAAUGCCUUGGCACUAGGAGCCGAUGAAGGACGGGACUAACACCGAUAUGCUUCGGGGAGCUGUACGUAAGCUAUGAUCCGGAGAUUUCCGAAUGGGGCAACCCAGCAGUUUUAAUCAACUGUUACCACUAGAUGAAUUCAUAGUCUAGUUGGAGGUAAACGCUGUGAACUGAAACAUCUCAUUAGCAGCAGGAAUAUAAAGAAAUUUCGAUUCCCUAAGUAGCGGCGAGCGAACGGGGAACAGCCCAAACCAAAGUGCUUGCACUUUGGGGUUGUAGGACUGAACAUUUGAGUUACCAAAGAACUUGAUAGUCGAAGGAUUUGGGAAAAUCCGCCAUAGAUGGUGAUAGCCCAGUAGAUUAAAUCAAAUUCUCUCAGUUCAGGAUCCUGAGUACGGCGGAACACGCGAAAUUCCGUCGGAAUCCGGGAGGACCAUCUCCCAAGGCUAAAUACUACCUAGUGACCGAUAGUGAACCAGUACCGUGAGGGAAAGGUGAAAAGCACCCCGGGAGGGGAGUGAAAUAGUUCCUGAAACCAUGUGCCUACAAUAAGUCAGAGCGCGUUAAUGCGUGAUGGCGUGCCUUUUGUAGAAUGAACCGGCGAGUUAUGAUCCCGUGCAAGGUUAAGACUAAAAAGUCGGAGCCGUAGCGAAAGCGAGUCUGAAAUGGGCGUUUUGAGUACGAGGUUAUAGACCCGAAACCAGGUGACCUAUCCAUGUCCAGGUUGAAGGUGCGGUAAAACGCACUGGAGGACCGAACCCGUGUAAGUUGAAAAUUGCUGGGAUGAGGUGUGGAUAGCGGUGAAAUUCCAAACGAACUUGGAGAUAGCUGGUUCUCUCCGAAAUAGCUUUAGGGCUAGCCUCGGAAUUAGGAUCAUGGAGGUAGAGCACUAUUUGGACUAGGGGCCCGUCUUGGGUUACUGAAUUCAGAUAAACUCCGAAUGCCAUUGAUUCAUAUCCGGGAGUCAGACGAUGAGUGAUAAGAUCCACCGUCGAAAGGGGAACAGCCCAGACCAUCAGUUAAGGUCCCUAAAUGUAUGCUAAGUGGAAAAGGAUGUGGAGUUGCAUAGACAACUAGGAUGUUGGCUCAGAAGCAGCCACCAUUUAAAGAGUGCGUAAUAGCUCACUAGUCGAGUGAUCCUGCGCCGAAAAUGUACCGGGGCUAAGCAUACUACCGAAACCAUGGAUGCGACCAUUAGGUCGCGUGAUAGGAGAGCGUUCUAAGGGCGGUGAAGCAAGAUCGUGAGGACUUGUGGAGCGCUUAGAAGUGAGAAUGCCGGUAUGAGUAGCGAAAGAUAGGUGAGAAUCCUAUCCACCGAAUGACUAAGGUUUCCUGGGGAAGGCUCGUCCUCCCAGGGUUAGUCGGGACCUAAGUCGAGGCCGAGAGGCGUAGACGAUGGAUAACAGGUUGAGAUUCCUGUACUAGUUAAGUGCGUUUGAGCAAUGGAGGGACGCAGGAGGCUAAGAUGUGCAUUCUGUUGGAUUAGAAUGUCCAAGCAGUAAGUCUUGUGAAGAGUCAAAUGCUUUUCACUUUAAGGACAAGCUGUGAUGGGGAGCGAAAUUUAGUAGCGAAGCGUCUGAUGUCACACUGCCGAGAAAAGCUUCUAGUGAGUACUUAACUACCCGUACCGCAAACCGACACAGGUAGUCGAGGAGAGAAUCCUAAGGUGAGCGAGUGAACUCUCGUUAAGGAACUCGGCAAAAUGACCCCGUAACUUCGGGAGAAGGGGUGCUGAUCGCAAGAUCAGCCGCAGUGAAUAGGCCCAGGCGACUGUUUAUCAAAAACACAGGUCUCUGCAAAAUCGUAAGAUGACGUAUAGGGGCUGACGCCUGCCCGGUGCUGGAAGGUUAAAAGGAUGGGUUAGCUUCGGCGAAGCUCAGAAUUGAAGCCCCAGUAAACGGCGGCCGUAACUAUAACGGUCCUAAGGUAGCGAAAUUCCUUGUCGGGUAAGUUCCGACCCGCACGAAAGGCGUAACGAUCUGGGCACUGUCUCAACGAGAGACUCGGUGAAAUUAUAUUGUCCGUGAAGAUGCGGACUACCCGCGACAGGACGGAAAGACCCCAUGGAGCUUUACUGUAGCUUGAUAUUGAGUGUUUGUACAGCUUGUACAGGAUAGGUAGGAGCCAUAGAAACCGGAACGCUAGUUUCGGUGGAGGCGUUGGUGGGAUACUACCCUCGCUGUAUGACCACUCUAACCCGCACCACUAAUCGUGGUGGGAGACAGUGUCAGGUGGGCAGUUUGACUGGGGCGGUCGCCUCCUAAAAAGUAACGGAGGCGCCCAAAGGUUCCCUCAGAAUGGUUGGAAAUCAUUCGCAGAGUGUAAAGGCACAAGGGAGCUUGACUGCGAGACAGACAGGUCGAGCAGGGACGAAAGUCGGGCUUAGUGAUCCGGUGGUACCGUAUGGAAGGGCCAUCGCUCAACGGAUAAAAGCUACCCUGGGGAUAACAGGCUUAUCUCCCCCAAGAGUCCACAUCGACGGGGAGGUUUGGCACCUCGAUGUCGGCUCAUCGCAUCCUGGGGCUGUAGUCGGUCCCAAGGGUUGGGCUGUUCGCCCAUUAAAGCGGUACGCGAGCUGGGUUCAGAACGUCGUGAGACAGUUCGGUCCCUAUCCGUCGCGGGCGUAGGAAAUUUGAGAGGACCUGUCCUUAGUACGAGAGGACCGGGAUGGACAUACCUCUGGUGUACCAGUUGUGCCGCCAGGCGCAUCGCUGGGUAGCUACGUAUGGAUGUGAUAAACGCUGAAAGCAUCUAAGUGUGAAACACACCUCGAGAUGAGAUUUCCCAUUCCUUUAU